This is a long non-coding RNA of Contarinia nasturtii (swede midge), 591 nucleotides long. RefSeq lists it as uncharacterized. The transcript has 4 exons. Lineage: Eukaryota; Metazoa; Arthropoda; Insecta; Diptera; Cecidomyiidae. The record is from RefSeq and is a predicted model, not a curated record.
UGAAUUUAAAAAAAAAGCAUAAAAUAACAAGGGAAAAAAUGAAAAUUGAGGAAAAAAGUGUGAAUGUGUAUCACCAAUUAAUCACCUAAAAAUAAUAUAAUUUACGCGCUUCGACCACAACUCAUGUUGUCUACGUAGCGACAGCAUAGAGAGUAGAUGCACUAUUUUUACUCGGCCGACUCGUACAUCGUUGCUGUGAUGCCCACCCAAUGUGAUUUUCCGCGCGGAAUGGCACACAAUGAAUUAGAUAGAGGCAAAAAAAAACGAGAAAAAGAAAAUGUAUCACUCAAACACACACACACAUAUCGUUCAUCACACACUCGGACAACUCAACUCACAAAAUGUAUUAAAUGUUGGUUGGGUGUUCAUUCAACGGUGAAGAUAGAGCAAGGGAGAUAGAGUGAUAAAACAUAAACAUAGGCAAGUGAUUGAUGAGCAUUAUCAAGAGUUUGGUGGCGCUUAUGUGUUCAAUUUCGAACAAAGAAAAAAACUAACAAACAAAAAAUCCGAUUCAAAUCAAAGUCAUUUAUGUUUCAAUUCAUUUUUAUUUGCACAUUUUUAUUGGGCUAAAUAACGAUCAAUACAAUACAA